Molecule: ribosomal RNA, 498 nt
Filed under: uncultured bacterium
Lineage: Bacteria
Description: partial 16S ribosomal RNA
Rfam family: Bacterial small subunit ribosomal RNA
Source: RNAcentral
GACGAACGCUGGCGGCAUGCCUAACACAUGCAAGUCGAACGGAGAUUAUUUCGGUAAUCUUAGUGGCGAACGGGUGAGUAACGCGUGGGUAACCUGCCCUCUAGAUGGGGACAACAUCCCGAAAGGGGUGCUAAUACCGAAUGUGACAGCAAUCUCGCAUGAGGAUGCUGUGAAAGAUGGCCUCUAUUUAUAAGCUAUCGCUAGAGGAUGGGCCUGCGUCUGAUUAGCUAGUUGGUGGGGUAACGGCCUACCAAGGCGAUGAUCAGUAGCCGGUCUGAGAGGAUGAACGGCCACAGUGGGACUGAGACACGGCCCAGACUCCUACGGGAGGCAGCAGUGGGGAAUCUUCCGCAAUGGGCGAAAGCCUGACGGAGCAAUGCCGCGUGAGUGAUGAAGGAAUUCGUUCCGUAAAGCUCUUUUGUUUAUGACGAAUGUGCAGAUUGUGAACAAUGAUCUGUAAUGACGGUAGUAAACGAAUAAGCCACGGCUAACUACGUG